AGCCGCAGAGAGAAGAAGCUGCCCAAGAAUGGAAAGGAAGAAAUAUAUCACAUCAUCUGUCUGUCCACGGGCUUUCCUUGGGGCUUAUGAAGAUUUCUUCAUGGUAACUAUUCCUUCAUUGAUUUAAAAGAGCCAGGACGUGACAGACAUCUGAUAAAUAAUUCUCAACAUACACCAUGCUUUUUCCUAGUGGACUUCGAUUCCUCAAAAGUGAGGGGACUCAAGCUGGUGACAUAUGUAUUCAGAGGGAUUCUCAGUGCAAAAAAAAA
Molecule: long non-coding RNA, 269 nt
Organism: Ornithorhynchus anatinus (platypus)
Lineage: Eukaryota; Metazoa; Chordata; Mammalia; Monotremata; Ornithorhynchidae
Exons: 3
Source: RefSeq, a predicted model, not a curated record